AACAUAGCCUUUAGCCCAACCAGUAUUAAAGGUCCCGCCUGCCCAGUGAAAAUUUUAACGGCCGCGGUAUUCUAACCGUGCAAAGGUAGCGUAAUCACUUGUCUUCUAAAUAAAGACCAGUAUGAACGGCUAAAUGAGGACAGACCUGUCUCCUAUGACUAAUCAGUGAAACUGAUCUUCCAGUACAAAAGCUGGAAUACAGACAUAAGACGAGAAGACCCUGUGGAGCUUCAAACAUCCACUAACAAGCAAAUAAUCUGCCCUAGUGUGUAGUUUUGAGUUGGGGCGACUUCGGAGUAAAAUAAAACCUCCGAGCACAGAGCCACACACUCUCACCAAGACCAACAAGCCAAAGUUAAAACAGCCGACCCAGUAACACUGAUCAACGAACCAAGUUACCCCAGGGAUAACAGCGCUAUCUUCUUCAAGAGUCCCUAUCGACAAGAAGGUUUACGACCUCGAUGUUGGAUCAGGACACCCAAAUGGUGCAGCCGCUAUUAAUGGUUCGUUUGUUCAACGAUUAACAGUCCUACGUGAUCUGAGUUCAGACCGGAGAAAUCC
This 561-nucleotide ribosomal RNA is filed under the name Scincus scincus (sandfish skink). RNAcentral's name for it is "partial 16S ribosomal RNA". It matches the Rfam family "Bacterial large subunit ribosomal RNA", at positions 1812 to 2627 of the family's 2925-position model. The record is from RNAcentral. Lineage: Eukaryota; Metazoa; Chordata; Lepidosauria; Squamata; Scincidae.